UAGUAUUAUAAUUUUAAAUUAAAAGGGAAAGUGGUUAAAUGCCACUGCAGCCCCCGCUACUGUAAUAAUGGACAAAUCUCUAAAUAAAUCCACUGGUGGUUAAAAACUGGGAAGGUAUGAGAAGAGGAUGAAGUUAAAGCCAGGAGACCUGCCUAAAUUUUA
RNAcentral lists this non-coding RNA (162 nucleotides) under Clostridium saudiense. The record is from RNAcentral. Lineage: Bacteria; Bacillati; Bacillota; Clostridia; Eubacteriales; Clostridiaceae.